Molecule: long non-coding RNA, 2478 nt
Filed under: Anas zonorhyncha (Eastern spot-billed duck)
Lineage: Eukaryota; Metazoa; Chordata; Aves; Anseriformes; Anatidae
Description: lncRNA (ENSAZOG00000016311.1)
Source: RNAcentral
AUGGACCGCAUGCUGAGGCUGUUCAUCAGAAAUUCUCCCACCUCCGGCUUCACUGAGCUGCAGGACAUCUUGCAGGUCUGCCACUUGCCAAGAGCAGUGUUCCCAGGGGCGCUUCCUCACCCAGAGGGAAUUCAGCAUCCACUGCGGAACGGACAGACCCUACUUCAGUGCCACGCACAGGCAGCACAGGGCAGGAAGGGUGCCCGCCUCCCUUGGGGGAACCGGGGGCUGCCCACUGAGGUCUUCUGGCAGCCCCAUAUCCCACGGGGCUGCUGCUUGCCGAGCCUCAGGGCUUCUGGAAGGUGGAAGGCAGUCCUCAUGGCAGGGACCGAAACCCCGCAGCGCUGCGUCCUCCUCCCUGAGCCCCGCACAGCCCUGAGCCCCUCGAGGUCCUGCUGCCGGCCAUGGGUCUCCCCUCUCACACUCCCCGUUGGUCUCUCAGCCACCCGGCUGCCAGGAUAAAGACCUGAAGAUGAAGUUCCUAAGGAGCAUCAUCAGCGUGUGCAGAAGUGCCAGAAACUGCGACCUGUGGUGCGGCCUUGAUGCCUUCUGCAACAAAUACGAGCUGGCAGAGCAUAUUAAGGUGAUGGGAAACCCCCUGGUGGCUCUGGGAGGGGUGCAAGGGCAGGCUGUGGGGACGGGACUCUCGAGGGCUUUGGCGGGGGCAAGCGCUGCGUGGACACUCAGCUGCCCCUGACGGCCUUGGGGCCAUUGAGAAGCCCCGCCAGCGGAGAGCUCAGCAGCAGGGAGGUGGCAGGGCGGCCCUCUGGGUGCCACAGCUGGCUGGGGGCACUGGGGCUCCACCGGCCCUUCUGACCUGGACCAGCUCUGCUGGCGCUGCCGAGCUGUGCCGCCCGAUGCCCGGUGCCAUCCCGGUUGUGCUCUGCAGGUGCUGCUGGAUGAGGAGCCCUUGGACGUUCUGCACACAGCGGUGCAGCAGCAAGCCAUGCUUGCACUUGGCCACUUGAGGUACGUGCCCAGCCCCUGCUCUGGCCCUGGGCCUGGCUUCCAGGCUUCCCCUGUCUAGGCAGCAGCCUGGCAGUGCCAGCCGCGGGGCCGCUGCUCGCCAAGCCUCGGGGCUUCUGGAAGGUGGAAGGCAGUCCCCAUGGCAGGGACCGAGGCCCCGCAGUGCUGCGUCCUCUUCCCUGAGGCCCUGAGGCCCUGCUCCCAGCACCGUGACAACGAGGCCCCUUGCUUUCUUUGCAGCUAUGUCAACUCAGUGCUGGAGGGCAAGAAGAAGAGCAUCCUGCUCACCUGUUUCAACAGUGUCUUCUUGCUGCCCUCACACGAGUAUUUGGAGUGCCAGAGCCGCAUCUACUACUUGAGGGUAUGCUCUGGGAGAGCUCUUGGAGCACCCAUCCCUCUGGGUUGAUCCCUGGCUGCUCUGUGCUGAGAUCUGUGCAGAUCCUGGCAGAGGGAGAGGGACUGGAGAUCCACUGCCACCCCUUUGUUGUCCUUGCAGACCCUGGACGCCAUGGACCGCAUGCUGAGGCUGUUCAUCAGAAAUUCUCCCCUCUCCGGCUUCAGUGAGCUGCAGGACAUCUUGCAGGUCUGCCACUUGCCAAGAGCAGUGUUCCCAGGGGCGCUUCCUCACCCGGAGGGAAUUCAGCAUCCACUGCGGAACGGACAGACCCUACUUCAGUGCCAAUGCACAGGCAGCACAGGGCAGGAAGGGUGCCCGCCUCCCUUGGGGGAACCGGGGGCUGCCCACUGAGGUCUUCUGGCAGCCCCGUAUCCCCUGGCUGCAGACCUUUCCCCUCCACAGACUCCUCCUGUGUCGGAGAAAAGCCUUGCCCAUGGCACUCCUGGGCUUCCUUUGCGUCUACACAGCGGCAGGAAUUGGACCCCUCUUCCCAGGCACUGCACUGGUCACCACUGGUGCUGCUGCUGUCCACCUGCCUCCCUGUCCGUGGUGCUUUCCUCCCGAGAUCGGAGUGCUGCGGGAGCCCAGCACUGAUGCUCCUGCUUUAGCGGGCAUCAGCUCCCAGGGCAGACCAGCACUUUCUCCCCUCACAGAUUCUGCUGCUCUUUGCCAACUCCCACAGAGAAGCCAUUUGCGAGAGGGCCGUGGGGAGGGCCGCGAAGCUGACCAGCUGGCUAGCCACACGCUUCUCACCGGAGGUAAGGAGCCACGCACCCCUCCAGCCAGCCCACCUCCCCUUCCCCGCAGACCACAUCAGCCUGCAGCUCAGGGGUGCUGCCGAGGCAAGCCCGGCUACAGACCCUCAGCUAGGGCUCAGCCCUGAAGCAAGGGCCUUCAGCCCUCCUUUGCCCAUGGACCCCGAGUGGGGGAUGUUCCCAGUCCCUGAGAGCACUCUUGGGAGCCAGCUCUGCCCCCCGUCCUGUGCAGGCCUCAAGCGCCCAGGGAGCACGGUGGGAGAGCAGGCAUGGCCAAGGCUGCUGACUCACCUGGGAGCCAGCCCUGGGCACACUCUUGGCUCCAGGACUUUGGCCCCAGCUGCCUCCCACAGCACUUCC